AUGGCCUGGUCCGGCGACCACUCGCAGAGGCCUGCGGAGGUGUUCACGGUGAUCCACGGGUCGCCUGCCAUGCAUCAGGAGGCCGCGCUGCUGGGCUCGCACGCGAUGGUUGUGUGGUUAGACCGAGACCUGCGGGCAAGCACGCAGGACAUCGCCGCUGCCAUCGCCUUCGAGCUGGGCGCUCUAACGGACGACGUCUCUGUCGUCAAGCACUUUCCGGAGGCUUACCUCAUCAGGUUCUUCCACCAGCAUCACUGCAUCGACGCGAUAGGGCGCCGAGACCUGCCGUUCCGCGAGACGAGACUGCAGCUGCGCCCUUGGAGCAUGGAGGCUCACUCCAGGAGCGUCGACCUCGUCCACCAUGUUCGGCUGUGCCUGGAUGGUCUCCCGCUGCAGGCGUGGGACGACCAUGCCGUCGCGCAGGCCAUCGGGCCGGGCUGCUCCAUCGACUACAUCGAGCCAGCCUCGAGGCUCAAGAUGGACUGCGAGGUGCUGGCGGUCUGGGCGUGGACUGCUUCACCGGCCAACGUCCCGGGCGUCAACUGGGUGACCCUGCCGGCGCGUGCGUGCGACCAACCGGCGUUCGGACGGCGCGGCCGGGAGCGGCGGGUCAUCAUCCAUCUCUCGAUCCACGAGGACCCGACACAAGGCCCCAGGGUUGUGUCCAAGGGAUACAACUUCCAGAAGGGUGUCGUCGACGGCGAGCGACAGGCCCGAGACCCGCGGGGGCGCAUCUCCCGCCCUGACAACAACCACCGGCGUGACCGCGACGAUGACCAA
This 780-nucleotide ribosomal RNA is filed under the name Triticum aestivum (bread wheat). RNAcentral describes it as "partial small subunit ribosomal RNA". The record is from RNAcentral. Lineage: Eukaryota; Viridiplantae; Streptophyta; Magnoliopsida; Poales; Poaceae.